AGUGAACGCUGGCGGUAGGCCUAACACAUGCAAGUCGAACGGCAGCACAAGAGAGCUUGCUCUCUGGGUGGCGAGUGGCGGACGGGGGUGGAAUGCACCGGAAUCUGCACAUUUGUGGGGGAUAACCUCGGGAAACCGGGACUCAUACCGCAUACGACCUACGGGGGAAAGAAGAGGAUCUCCGGACAUUGCGCAGGUGGAUGAGACGAUGCCGGAUUAGCUAGUUGGAGGGGUAAAGGCCCACCAAGGCGACGAUCCGUAGCUGGUCUGAGAGGAUGAUCAGCCACACUGGGACUGAGACACGGCCCAGACUCCUACGGGAGGCAGCAGUGGGGAAUAUUGGACAAUGGGCGCAAGCCUGAUCCAGCCAUGCCGCGUGGGUGAAGAAGGCCUUCGGGUUGUAAAGCACUUUUGUUGGGAAAGAAAAGCAGCCGGUUAAUACCCGGUUGUCAUGACGGUACCCAAAGAAUAAGCACCGGCUAACUUCGUG
RNAcentral lists this ribosomal RNA (490 nucleotides) under uncultured bacterium. RNAcentral describes it as "partial 16S ribosomal RNA". It matches the Rfam family "Bacterial small subunit ribosomal RNA", at positions 29 to 507 of the family's 1533-position model. The record is from RNAcentral.